RNAcentral lists this ribosomal RNA (468 nucleotides) under uncultured bacterium. RNAcentral describes it as "partial 16S ribosomal RNA". It matches the Rfam family "Bacterial small subunit ribosomal RNA", at positions 28 to 507 of the family's 1533-position model. The record is from RNAcentral.
GACGAACGCUGGCGGCGCGCCUAACACAUGCAAGUCGAACGGAUGCAAGAGGAGCUUGCUUUUCUUGACUUAGUGGCGAACGGGUGAGUAACGCGUGAGUAACCUGCCCUGGAGUGGGGGACAAGAGUUGGAAACGACUGCUAAUACCGCAUAAGCCCACGGAUCCGCAUGGAUCUGCGGGAAAAGGAUUUAUUCGCUUCAGGAUGGACUCGCGUCCAAUUAGCUAGUUGGUGAGGUAACGGCCCACCAAGGCUACGAUUGGUAGCCGGACUGAGAGGUUGAACGGCCACAUUGGGACUGAGACACGGCCCAGACUCCUACGGGAGGCAGCAGUGGGGGAUAUUGCACAAUGGGGGAAACCCUGAUGCAGCGACGACGCGUGGAGGAAGAAGGUUUUCGGAUUGUAAACUCCUGUCGUUAGGGACGAUAAUGACGGUACCUAAAAAGGAAGCACCGGCUAACUACGUG